GAAUACUCGGAAAUUGGCACAAGCUUCUUGCCCAAGUUUGGCCCAAAAAAAAGUUUGGCAAGAGUUGAGUGAAACUUGGAUUGAAUUUUGAUGUCGCCUGAAUCCAUUUUUUGCCAAAGUCUUGCCCAACUUUUGCCCUAGUUUAGCCAA
Non-coding RNA from Caenorhabditis elegans, 150 nucleotides. Lineage: Eukaryota; Metazoa; Nematoda; Chromadorea; Rhabditida; Rhabditidae. The record is from Ensembl.